RNAcentral lists this ribosomal RNA (487 nucleotides) under marine sediment bacterium ISA-6343. RNAcentral's name for it is "bacterial SSU rRNA". It matches the Rfam family "Bacterial small subunit ribosomal RNA", at positions 37 to 570 of the family's 1533-position model. The record is from RNAcentral.
UGGCGGCAUGCCUAAUACAUGCAAGUCGAACGAGAUCUUCGGAUCUAGUGGCGCACGGGUGCGUAACGCGUGGGAAUCUGCCCUUGGGUUCGGAAUAACUUCUGGAAACGGAAGCUAAUACCGGAUGAUGACGUAAGUCCAAAGAUUUAUCGCCCAAGGAUGAGCCCGCGUAGGAUUAGGUAGUUGGUGAGGUAAAGGCUCACCAAGCCGACGAUCCUUAGCUGGUCUGAGAGGAUGAUCAGCCACACUGGGACUGAGACACGGCCCAGACUCCUACGGGAGGCAGCAGUAGGGAAUAUUGGACAAUGGGCGAAAGCCUGAUCCAGCAAUGCCGCGUGAGUGAUGAAGGCCUUAGGGUUGUAAAGCUCUUUUACCCGGGAUGAUAAUGACAGUACCGGGAGAAUAAGCUCCGGCUAACUCCGUGCCAGCAGCCGCGGUAAUACGGAGGGAGCUAGCGUUGUUCGGAAUUACUGGGCGUAAAGCGCAC